RNAcentral lists this ribosomal RNA (627 nucleotides) under uncultured bacterium. RNAcentral describes it as "bacterial SSU rRNA". It matches the Rfam family "Bacterial small subunit ribosomal RNA", at positions 69 to 684 of the family's 1533-position model. The record is from RNAcentral.
GCAUCAGUUUGGUUUGCUUGCAAACCAAAGCUGGCGACCGGCGCACGGGUGAGUAACACGUAUCCAACCUGCCUCAUACUCGGGGAUAGCCUUUCGAAAGAAAGAUUAAUAUCCGAUAGCAUAUAUUUCCCGCAUGGGUUUUAUAUUAAAGAAAUUCGGUAUGAGAUGGGGAUGCGUUCCAUUAGUUUGUUGGCGGGGUAACGGCCCACCAAGACUACGAUGGAUAGGGGUUCUGAGAGGAAGGUCCCCCACAUUGGAACUGAGACACGGUCCAAACUCCUACGGGAGGCAGCAGUGAGGAAUAUUGGUCAAUGGACGCGAGUCUGAACCAGCCAAGUAGCGUGAAGGAUGACUGCCCUAUGGGUUGUAAACUUCUUUUAUAUGGGAAUAAAGUGGUCCACGUGUGGAUUUUUGUAUGUACCAUAUGAAUAAGGAUCGGCUAACUCCGUGCCAGCAGCCGCGGUAAUACGGAGGAUCCGAGCGUUAUCCGGAUUUAUUGGGUUUAAAGGGAGCGUAGGCGGAUUGUUAAGUCAGUUGUGAAAGUUUGCGGCUCAACCGUAAAAUUGCAGUUGAUACUGGCAGUCUUGAGUGCAGUAGAGGUGGGCGGAAUUCGUGGUGUAGCGGUGA